GAUGAACGCUAGCUACAGGCUUAACACAUGCAAGUCGAGGGGAAACGAUAGAGAAAGCUUGCUUUUUCUAGGCGUCGACCGGCGCACGGGUGAGUAACGCGUAUCCAACCUGCCCAUCACUUGGGGAUAACCCUGCGAAAGUAAGACUAAUACCCAUGACGUCUCUAGAAGACAUCUGAAAGAGAUUAAAGAUUUAUCGGUGAUGGAUGGGGAUGCGUCUGAUUAGCUUGUUGGCGGGGUAACGGCCCACCAAGGCGACGAUCAGUGGGGGUUCUGAGAGGAAGGUCCCCCACAUUGGAACUGAGACACGGUCCAAACUCCUACGGGAGGCAGCAGUGAGGAAUAUUGGUCAAUGGGCGAGAGCCUGAACCAGCCAAGUAGCGUGCAGGAUGACGGCCCUAUGGGUUGUAAACUGCUUUUAUAAGGGAAUAAAGUGAGUCUCGUGAGACUUUUUGCAUGUACCUUAUGAAUAAGGACCGGCUAAUUCCGUGCCAGCCGCCGCGGUAA
Molecule: ribosomal RNA, 507 nt
Filed under: uncultured bacterium
Lineage: Bacteria
Description: partial 16S ribosomal RNA
Rfam family: Bacterial small subunit ribosomal RNA
Source: RNAcentral